CUGGUUCUUAAAAACUAUAUAAAGACCCAGUCUUCUCUCUUUAAAAACACACUGAAAUUCGCACGAACAAAAACACUUCUAAUUAGAUACUUUCUUGCAAUACUGUUCUGAAAUUUUCUUUUCUUGAGGUCCUUUUUUUGGAACUGCUAUUUCAACUUGGCUCUUUCAAGGCUACUAUUUUCUUACUUGUUUUCAUUUGAAACUGGUAUGUCUUUUAUUUAAAUUUUCUGCCUCACCCCCAUGUGUUUACUUUGCAGUUUCAGCCUUUUGUUUACUUUUUUACUACUGUUCAGAGAUUUGUGCUAAUUAUUUUCCUUCCUUUCUUCUGUUUACAUUAUGAAUCCCCAUCCUUACUUUCUUUUAUGUGCUUGUGUUAAUGUCUUUGCUUGGCAGUAUCCUAAUUACUGCCCAGGUCAUAACCUGAUCUACAAUGGAUUAUAACUCUCAAAGUUUGGCUAACAUGCUGGUCAGGGGUGUGCCAUCAUUCCAAUUGCUGGGCAUGACCAGCAACCUGCCAUGUCUCUCCCCGAUCCCCUUCCUCCAGUACACUUGCACUUAUUCUUACACUCUUAAGUUCUGCCCUUCUCAUAUGAGCCUUGCUUUGGGACCUUGAGUUCCCUCUGAAGUUUGACAUUUGAGGGGAAUUUCCACAUUACACUAUAAUUCUGUAUCGUUUUGGGGUAUAAGCACUAUCUGGAGUCCUUUGAUACUCUUGGGAACUUUGACACACCCCAAAUAUGAGAAAAGUCUUUUAGAAACCUUAUCCUGGAAGUUGGUUUAUUUCAUAUUGUUGGACCUUGAGUCUGAAUUAAGAUGUUUGGAUGUAGC
Molecule: long non-coding RNA, 828 nt
Filed under: Nicotiana benthamiana
Lineage: Eukaryota; Viridiplantae; Streptophyta; Magnoliopsida; Solanales; Solanaceae
Description: long non-coding RNA (NBEN_LNC011368)
Source: RNAcentral